CUAAUUGGAAUAUUACUAAAUUUUGGUCUCAAACCUAUGCUCUCAUCAAUGUGGUGUUAUGCUUAUCACUAAACUUCUAUCCACGGCAUGUACAAAUUGUUGUGGAAUAUCAAAUGAGUGUGGAAUCCUUGCAUACUACAGCACUACAGCUCUUCAAUGAAGAAACUGCCGUCCAAGACGUGACAAGCGUCGCCUAAAUGGUUAACGAGUAACGUAUGCUGUUCCUCAAGCUGGUCCUGGUACCUCCGAUGCCGGUAGGAAUCAAGCAUGCUGUACACCUCUUCCUCCUGUUCAUCUACAACAAACGGCCGGCCAACAGUUACUUGCAUAUAUAUCUCAUCUCUACCUCAUCCUUCUACUACUCUUUUUGUAAGCCUGCAUAGGCUACCAAAAUAACAAAUGUGCUCUACCAAAUGAGUACAGCCAGUAUUCGAGUAGCAUUCACAGGAAAAUUGACAUCAAACCCC
Molecule: long non-coding RNA, 467 nt
Filed under: Oryza brachyantha (malo sina)
Lineage: Eukaryota; Viridiplantae; Streptophyta; Magnoliopsida; Poales; Poaceae
Description: long non-coding RNA (OBRA_LNC001682)
Source: RNAcentral